GGGUUGGCACAGGGUAAUAGGAGUCUGCUUAAUCACAAUGCCAUUGAGAAGGGCUAUGGGACAGAUGGAGAUUUUUCUUGAUUGUUUUGAGAGUCAACAGAUAGGUAUCUUAUUUGUUUCUAUUGAGAACUUUAGUUCUCACACAUUCGAUCUUUCAUUUUGUUUGUAUUUAAGUGUCAGAUGAGGACUUUGGAAUUUUUGUAGUUAGGAUCUAUUAUUCAGUAAAUGCAGUAAAGUUGCUUAAAAGUGCAUAUCCGGUUUUGCAAUCUAGGAUAACUGACCAGAGCUCAUC
RNAcentral lists this unclassified non-coding RNA (292 nucleotides) under Hevea brasiliensis (rubber tree). Lineage: Eukaryota; Viridiplantae; Streptophyta; Magnoliopsida; Malpighiales; Euphorbiaceae. The record is from RNAcentral.